UACAGAGGUCUCAAGCGUUGUUCGGAUUCAUUGGGCGUAAAGGGUGCGUAGGCGGCGCGGUAAGUCGGGUGUGAAAUCUCGGGGCUUAACUCCGAAACUGCAUUCGAUACUGCCGUGCUUGAGGACUGGAGAGGAGACUGGAGUUUACGGUGUAGCGGUGAAAUGCGUAGAUAUCGUAAGGAAGACCAGUGGCGAAGGCGGGUCUCUGGACAGUUCCUGACGCUGAAGCACGAAGGCCAGGGGAGCAAACGGG
This 253-nucleotide ribosomal RNA is filed under the name uncultured bacterium. RNAcentral describes it as "partial 16S ribosomal RNA". It matches the Rfam family "Bacterial small subunit ribosomal RNA", at positions 524 to 776 of the family's 1533-position model. The record is from RNAcentral.